This 879-nucleotide long non-coding RNA is filed under the name Olea europaea subsp. europaea. The record is from RNAcentral. Lineage: Eukaryota; Viridiplantae; Streptophyta; Magnoliopsida; Lamiales; Oleaceae.
CGCAACUUGGAGUUAAAGUUAGCAUAAGUGAAUUCCUGUUAAAAUAUUUUGUACAUGUACAUAAGGCGUUCCUUUUUCAUUUGCUAUUUUCAUUCGUUCUCCCACAUUUUUCAACACUAAAAUCAUAUGACUUCAUCAAUUUCAGCACGAGUAAAAAAAAUACUACUCACAGCUUCAUCUUCAUCAACUUUUUCCCAUGAUAAUAUACAAGUUUCACUUCUUUUUGUGCUCGUAUUUUUGUUUAGGUUUGGCAAUUAGAUAAGCUUAGCUGCUUUUAUUUCUUUCUCGUCCAUUUUUUUAGUCUAGAUAUAAAUAUGUUUCCGUGUAUGCUAUGGGGUUGUGAGACAUGAAUAUUGAAUCAAUUGGAAACAUGCACCAAACAUCUUCGCAUCUUGUAAAAUCCAAUAUCUUUUCCAUAUACAAUUUAACAAUUCUUCUGUGUCUUUUGCAUCUCUACAAAAACCGCUUUCUAUAUUUCUCUCCUUGGUUCAGCCAAGUUAAAUGGUGAUUUUAUUUAUUUAUUUAUUUUUUAAUUUGGGUUGAAAAUUUUAUGUGAGAGUGCACAGGUGUAUGAGACUAUGGAUGUUGGUUAAGUGUGUAUUUAUAUGAGAAAUAGUGAGAGAGAUUGAGAAAUAGUAGUGAUGUGCACCAAACAUGCACUAAACUUGCACUUAUGUUCACAUCAUGUGGAAUCUAUUACCUUUUGUGUACACGGGUACACAAUUCCAAGUAAAUAGAAGUUAUUACAAAUGAGAAUUACCGUCAAAGAUAACUCUCCAAAUUUUCAUAAACUUUGGAGUGCUACCAAAAAAUGCACUUUUCUUUGUGUUAAAGGCAGAACGAAAAAAUAAAAUUCUUUAUAAAAAAAUAAUUGGAACA